This 293-nucleotide ribosomal RNA is filed under the name uncultured prokaryote. Its description in RNAcentral is "partial 16S ribosomal RNA". It matches the Rfam family "Bacterial small subunit ribosomal RNA", at positions 505 to 796 of the family's 1533-position model. The record is from RNAcentral.
GUGCCAGCAGCCGCGGUAAUACGUAGGGUGCAAGCGUUGUCCGGAAUUACUGGGCGUAAAGAGCUCGUAGGUGGUUUGUCGCGUCGUCUGUGAAAUCCCGGGGCUUAACUUCGGGCGUGCAGGCGAUACGGGCAUAACUUGAGUGCUGUAGGGGAGACUGGAAUUCCUGGUGUAGCGGUGAAAUGCGCAGAUAUCAGGAGGAACACCGAUGGCGAAGGCAGGUCUCUGGGCAGUAACUGACGCUGAGGAGCGAAAGCAUGGGUAGCGAACAGGAUUAGAAACCCCGGUAGUCC